Molecule: ribosomal RNA, 419 nt
Filed under: uncultured microorganism
Description: bacterial SSU rRNA
Rfam family: Bacterial small subunit ribosomal RNA
Source: RNAcentral
GAGUUUGAUCGUGGCUCAGAGUGAACGCUGGCGGUAGGCCUAACACAUGCAAGUCGAACGGCAGCACAGUAAGAGCUUGCUCUUAUGGGUGGCGAGUGGCGGACGGGUGAGGAAUACAUCGGAAUCUACUUUUCGUGAGGGAUAACGUAGGGAAACUUACGCUAAUACCGCAUACGACCUACGGGUGAAAGCAGGGGAUCUUCGGACCUUGCGCGAUUGAAUGAGCCGAUGUCGGAUUAGCUAGUUGGCGGGUAAAGGCCCACCAAGGCGACGAUCCGUAGCUGGUCUGAGAGGAUGAUCAGCCACACUGGAACUGAGACACGGUCCAGACUCCUACGGGAGGCAGCAGUGGGGAAUAUUGGACAAUGGGCGCAAGCCUGAUCCAGCCAUACCGCGUGGGUGAAGAAGGCCUCGGUUGU